RNAcentral lists this long non-coding RNA (1666 nucleotides) under Triticum aestivum (bread wheat). RNAcentral's name for it is "long non-coding RNA (TAES_LNC001977)". The record is from RNAcentral. Lineage: Eukaryota; Viridiplantae; Streptophyta; Magnoliopsida; Poales; Poaceae.
AGCUCUACAAGUGUAACAAGCUCUACAAUUGUAAUACUAACAAGCUCUACAAGUUCUUAGAUUCAGACUCCUAACAAGCUCUAUUAGAUGAACAACAUGCCGGACUCGCUCGACGACCAUAGUCAGGGCUGGGAACAAACAAAACAACAACAUGGCUUCCACUGUCAUCCUGUUACAUGAAUCAGGGAAGAAUUAGAAUAACUGGGGGAAAUAUAUGUCGUAGCUAACAAAGUAAGAAACAGUAGUUAACAAGUCUGAGUCAUAGAAGCUAGAAGUGUCCCUUCUGAGAGACAAGAACUUAGAAUUGAUGCAUGGAUCUUAUUCUAAACAGCAUAAACACCAUGGUAAUAACAAAUUAACAGUAACAAGAUCAGUGUUAGCAGAAUUAAGUACAAGGCAAUCACGGGUACCAAUCCAAUGCAAGUUAAUAGAGAAAAUAUGUCAAAGUUACUCAGAUUUACUAAUGUGUUUUUCAUACUACCAAAUUGAAGGUAAAAGAUGUGUACUGAUUCAACACUGCAAACUGAUUUCUGAAAGCUUUACCAAAACAUUGUUUAGUCGCUUGGUGCUAAAGCGAUAGAUGUUGAACACUAACUGCCAACAAUAGUAACAACCAGCAGGUAUUAACCAGCAGGUACUGCACCUGCGACCGCCAUCACUAGCUUGGAAGCAAUAAGCACAGCAUAGGUAGGAUAGGAAUCAUCCAGGAUGUGUGUUCAUGAAUCACCUAAUAGGUGCCGUGCCGCAUAAUUGAUUUCCUGAACUCAGUAUGCUACACUUGUCUAUCCCAAAUCAGGGCUCAUGAAUCCUCAUCAAACUGUGAAAUUUUACCUGAAGUAGGGCAGUGGCCACGUCGAAAACCACGUACAGGUCAAUGGUCUGCGGGGCAUGAGAAGCACAUCAGGAACCCGGCAGUCGCAAGUGGUAGACAAAAAAAAUACUGCUAGGGAAUCUGUACACGAAUGAGGCAUAGAGCAGCAAAAUAAGAUAUAUAUUCAUGAUCUUCACAGCAUGAAUCCAAAUCCUACGGCUGAUAGUGGCCCUUUUUAUACUACAAAAGACCAUCGUCACCAUUCAAGAAUCACAACAGCACACUAAGAACAAUGACAGGCUCCGCAAGCCUGUGACCUACUGUACACGGCAAUAGGAGCAAAAAUCUAAUAAAUUCAUUACAGGCUUGCCAAUAAAAAUAACAAGUUACCUACACACAAGGAAACAUAAACUUGAGAGGUUGAGAUCAAGGCCUAUCAACUACAUCAUAUAUAUAUGGAUCAAAAAACAAGGCCAUAUGGACCAAUGCAUCAUAAUUAUCAGUUUUAAACACUACAGGAUCAGACCGACUGACCGAGCAUGAUGAAUCAAUAGGUGUGAAAUGCAUUGACACUUUGCUCUGUCUUAAAAUUGACAGCUAUAUUAAUUUAUAUUUAUACUCAUUAGAGAUAGUCAUAAUAUUGGGACGUCGACACUCAUCAAGAUAACUCUAAAAGAGUUUGACAAGAUAUGCAACCCAGAAUGUUUCAGGACUCUACACAGAAUAUAACUACAAAAACUGCAGCAGUAAUACAGAUGCAGAGCAGCAAUACAGACCCAGGAGAUAUCUUGUGAUAGCAGGCAUCCCAUAAGCCGCAGAAAUGGCCAGAGCAGUGUCACCUGCAAUAAGUAAAAC